UACGUAGGGGGCAAGCGUUGUCCGGAAUCAUUGGGCGUAAAGCGCGCGUAGGCGGCCCGGCAAGUCCGCUCUGAAAGUCCAGGGCUCAACCCUGGAAAGCGGGUGGAUACUGCCGGGCUAGAAUCCGGAAGAGGCGAGUGGAAUUCCUGGUGUAGCGGUGGAAUGCGCAGAUAUCAGGAGGAACACCAAUAGCGAAGGCAGCUCGCUGGGACGGUAUUGACGCUAAGGCGCGAAAGCGUGGGGAGCGAACAGG
This 253-nucleotide ribosomal RNA is filed under the name uncultured bacterium. RNAcentral describes it as "partial 16S ribosomal RNA". It matches the Rfam family "Bacterial small subunit ribosomal RNA", at positions 524 to 776 of the family's 1533-position model. The record is from RNAcentral.